RNAcentral lists this ribosomal RNA (468 nucleotides) under uncultured bacterium. Its description in RNAcentral is "partial 16S ribosomal RNA". It matches the Rfam family "Bacterial small subunit ribosomal RNA", at positions 28 to 507 of the family's 1533-position model. The record is from RNAcentral.
GACGAACGCUGGCGGCGUGCUUAACACAUGCAAGUCGAACGGAAAGGCCCUGCUUUUGUGGGGUGCUCGAGUGGCGAACGGGUGAGUAACACGUGAGUAACCUGCCCUUGACUUUGGGAUAACUUCAGGAAACUGGGGCUAAUACCGGAUAGGAGCUCCUGCUGCAUGGUGGGGGUUGGAAAGUUUCGGCGGUUGGGGAUGGACUCGCGGCUUAUCAGCUUGUUGGUGGGGUAGUGGCUUACCAAGGCUUUGACGGGUAGCCGGCCUGAGAGGGUGACCGGCACAGUGGGACGUGGACUGAGGCCCGGCCCAGACGGGGAGGGGGCGGGGGGGAAGGGUGAAGUGGGGGAGGAGCCAGAUGGCGGCACGGCAGGGCGGGGGAGGAGGGCUUGGGGGUAGAAAACCAAUUCCCCUUUACACGAGGGGAGAGUGACGGUAGGGGGUAAAGAAGCCCCGGCUAACUCCGUG